GACGAACGCUGGCGGCGUGCUUAACACAUGCAAGUCGAACGAAGAGCGAUGGAAGCUUGCUUCUAUCAAUCUUAGUGGCGAACGGGUGAGUAACGCGUAAUCAACCUGCCCUUCAGAGGGGGACAACAGUUGGAAACGACUGCUAAUACCGCAUACGACCUAAUCUCGGCAUCGAGGAUAGAUGAAAGGUGGCCUCUACAUGUAAGCCAUCACUGAAGGAGGGGAUUGCGUCUGAUUAGCUAGUUGGAGGGGUAACGGCCCACCAAGGCGAUGAUCAGUAGCCGGUCGGAGAGGAUGAGCGGCCACAUUGGGACGGAGACACGGCCCAGACUCCUACGGGAGGCGGCAGUGGGGAAUCUUGCGCAAGGGACGAAAGUCUGACGGAGCAACGCCGCGUGAGUGAUGACGGCCUUCGGGUUGUAAAGCUCUGUUAAUCGGGACGAAAGGCCUUCUUGCGAAUAGUGAGAAGGAUUGACGGUACCGGAAUAGAAAGCCACGGCUAACUACGUG
This 510-nucleotide ribosomal RNA is filed under the name uncultured bacterium. Its description in RNAcentral is "partial 16S ribosomal RNA". It matches the Rfam family "Bacterial small subunit ribosomal RNA", at positions 28 to 507 of the family's 1533-position model. The record is from RNAcentral.